RNAcentral lists this long non-coding RNA (5167 nucleotides) under Mus musculus (house mouse). Its description in RNAcentral is "RIKEN cDNA B830012L14 gene". The stretch from base 3040 to 3110 matches the Rfam family "Small nucleolar RNA SNORD113/SNORD114 family". Lineage: Eukaryota; Metazoa; Chordata; Mammalia; Rodentia; Muridae. The record is from RNAcentral.
GUCUGAAACCUGGCCAUCCAACACAGAAGAUAAGUGGAUAAUCCUAGUUAGGAAAGCAUGUGUCAUGUUUCAGCCUCUGCUGCUUUGUCACACUCCCCAGAACAGGCAUUCCUAGGCUCAAGCCAUCUUCCAUGGUCACCAGCCCACUUACGAGCUGACUAAAUGUGUCAUGGUAGACCUUAGCGAGAAGAAUGACUGAUAGUGGUCAUGUGAAUUAGAUGCUUCGUAUUAUUUAGCAGAGAGGAGCAAGGGGCAGAUCGAUGGCUGUGCAGGGAAGACCUGGAUACUUAGAAUCAGAGGUUGGAAAGAAGAGCAGGGUUCCCUUAAGCUGGCCUGUUACUUCCACAGCUAUCUCCCUCAACACAGAGAAAUAAGCAUCAUAAAAUGAAUGUGAAAUGUGAUUGUAUUAGGCCAAAUGUGACCAAUGAAACAAAUUAAAUUAUCACGAAUUAGACCGUUGAAUUGGCCAUGCCUGUAAAAGCAAGAUUCAUCUCUGAAGGAGACUUGGCAUAUGAGCUUUUUCUUUGUUUGAGAGGAGCUUCUGGCUUAUUUCAGUCCUUGGGAAAGAUAAUAGAGAUUUCUGUGGUUAUCAGUGAAGAAGUGAUUCCAUGAUCAGCCAAUAGAAACGUGAAUGCAGGAAAGCAGAGCCAUACCAGAUCAAUGGGGGAGACGGUGGCUGUAAGAGAGGACACAAGUCCCUUUCUCAGAGGGCCAUCCUGCACCAGAAUUGUACUCCAUCAUAAUUAUUUCAUAUUUUAAUUCUCUGAAUAUCAAUAAAACAAUAAAGGAGUAUCUAAAUGAGGGAUGGAUCCUCCCAGGGAAACAAGGUCCACAUGAGUCUUGGUUAGGUUGAAGUAGUUCAUGUUGUAAGUCAUGAUUGUCAAAGCAAAUCCUUAUAAUAUUGAAGACAUGGAAUCUAUGAUUCAUCAAAUAUAUAUCAUCAAAUAUAUAUGGAAAUUGGAGGGUAAUUAACAUACAUUUUAACAUUGGUGAUCUCUGAGUUCACCAUAUGAAUAAUUAAAGACUGGAUGUGGCUGACACAGAAAAGAACGAGAUGAAGCAAUUAUAUUAUAUCAUUUAAGUACUGAUUUGUGAAUAUGAGAUAAACAGAUAUUGGAGGUCAAGGACAUUGAGUACUUUACUGACAAGUUAUAGAUACAGCCCAACACAUACAGGCUAUAGUUUGUGAAUCUUUGGUUCAUGGACAUGUGUUUACAUAAAGUUAUCACAGGAAAUUGAGUUGUUUGAAUUGAAGUUAGGUGGCUAAAAUGAGGUUCCAAAGGUAAAUAAGAAUGGUAGCAAAUGCUAGAGAAGUCACUUGAUAGUAAUACUCCUCAAAAUAAAGUUAGUGCAGAACGUCUGGCUGGAAUGGGGUAUCCUAGAUGACUUGAUAAUCUCCUUGUAUUGGAGGGAACGUAACCCCACGCCCUUAGAGAGAAAGCCAGGUUUUCCUUUCAAAUGUAGGAAUCGUGGGACAAUCUUGAGAGCAAGUCUUUAGAUUUUUACUUCUUUCUCUGCCUUCUACCAUCCAUGGAGAAGACCCAAGUGAUCUCAAAGGUUUGCAGUGACGGACAGUUCCUGGGAUGCCAUAGCAACAAUUCAGAGCUCAUGGUGACUUGACAUCUUCGGCUUUGAUCCUUCGGUUGGAACCUGCUGAUAGAAAAGCUGACUUAACUGAUGGCACAAGUGUACUCUGAACCAGAACCCACUUCGGUCUUCACCGUGACAGCCUGAGCCCUGCUGACUGAGAGGCGGCAUUUUGAUCUUCCUCACUUAAGAGAGCUGACCCAAGUGAUAUGAGAAGUUUGCUGUGAUGGACAGUUUCUGGGUGCUUUGCCAACAAUCCAGAGUACAUGGUGACAUGUCAACUCCAGCUGUGAUCCUCCUGUGUGGCACUGACUUACAGAAAUGGCGACCCAACAGAUGGUACCAGCAUGCUGAGAUAUAGAACCACCCUUGUAUCACCACUGUGACAUCUCAGAGCUUUGCCGACCAAGAGGCAACAUCUUGAUCUUCCUUGCCCACCAGCUUGCAGGAAGGUGACUCUAGUGAUGGUAGAGUUAUGGAUAAUGGACAAUUCCUGGGAUGCCAUGGCAACAGUCCACAGCCCAUGGUGACUUGUCAACUCCAGCUCUGUUCCUUCUGUGCGCACCUGCUUAUAGAAAGGCUGACCUGGUGAUGGUGAACCACCACCCCAAGUCUGCAUGUCACAAAUCAGCAUCUCUCUCUCCUAUGGAGUCUGGUUCUAGGUCUUGACAGAGGCUGAUUGACUGAUGUCAUUGCAAAAGUUUCCUGUCAUAGAGAGUUCCUCUGAUGUCCCUUCAGCACCACUACAACUGCUGACUGCAGGAUUUCCUAUGUUUAAUGACUGCCUCAAGAAUGUGUGCUCCUAGGCUGAUGUCUGCAUUUUCUAUGAUCAGCAGUGGAACAUUUGCACCUCUGCAUUGAACAUGGGGCAGUGUGGACCAUCUAAUUAGAGGACCCUCCAAUGGUCAAGCACUCUAUUUGCACCAGCUUGAGGAGACGAACAAGACCAGUAAUGGACUUUCCCAAGGUAUCUAUUCACCUCCAAUGGCUUCCAGCCCUUCAGUUGCUCGUGAUGAUGUGAGAUCUGCCCAAACUUCUCCUCAUAGUUUUGAUGGUUUGAUGAAGGUGUUUGCUGCCUGGAGGAGGUCUCCAUGUCUAGGAUCUCCGCUGAUGUCAUGGGUGGUGCUGGGCUGACCAGUGUGAGUAGUGCCUUGGACUCUUUCUCCACGUUUGGUGGUUUGCUUAGCAGAACUCAGUGUGUCACUGAGAACUGUAACAUGGCAUUUAGAAUGAGUGUUUCAUACCAGGGAGUGCCACAGACAUGAAUGGAAGUUGUCAAAUUAUUAAUAAAACAUUGAGGAUGGUUAAUUAAGGCUAGAACACUUCCACACUGAUUAGGAAUAAGAUUUUUAGGGUUGUUGGAAUAAUAGGUGCUCAAAUUAUUAUUAGCUGAUCGUUGAACUAAUUAUCAGACAAUAGGAAAGGACUGCUUGGAAAGAGAAAGGAGCAGCCAUGACUGAUCCUGAGCACUGUUGACAUAUGAGUCACAUGGAUAACUACAUGUCUGGAACUUUGAGAUCUACUAAAGAAGUAAUAUAAUCCUCUGUCUUCAUUUCAAGUGUUCCUGUAGAAAGACUACCAGCCCGGAUAAUCUGUUCAUUUCGCCCCACCCUCCCUUGUUAUAAAUUCUAUUUUGUUUUUAUAAUUAUAUCAAUGUGAGAAUCAAGCAAUCAGUCUCAAAAAUAAGUGAAAAUGAAAUGGGUAAAUCAUUGCCUGAGCCAAGAAAUAGAUUAGUAUGUACAGAAUAUUAUGCCACCUUAAAAUUUUUUUCUUGCCGCUGAUGACCUGAAGCAUGUAAAUUACAAUGUCUGCAUUCUGAGAGAGUUUGAAAAUUCCUUGUUUUUAAGCCACAAGAACAUUAAAUAUGCUCCAAAAAUGGUGGGCCUAGUGGCCAGUGGUAGGUGAGAAGUGAAACCUGUUAAAGGGAAAGACUUGAUUUCUUGUUCAGUCAUCCCUAGAAUGGACGCACUGUCUGACAGGGGCAUCCUCCAUGAUUGGGGUCUCCUGUUUCUGCUGGACUGAUUCUGAAUAGUUUUGCUUAAGUUCAGAAAAAAAAAAAAAAGAUUCAAAAUUCUGUUUUGAAAGAUUUGCUUACGAUUACUCAGUGCCUUAUGCAGCUAGGAGGUUUCCAUCUUUAGUACCCGCCCUUUAUAGACAGAGGCCUCGAGAAGUAGAUCUCUGAGUUUAAGGACAGUCUGAGCUACAAACCAAGUUCCAGAACAGCCAGCGCUCCACACAGACAAAAAUAAUAUUCACAUGAUUAGUGAAGACCACCUGUAUCCCAGUGAUUGAUCACUGAUGGAUAUUGAGUCUUCUAUUGAUUGUACUUUUAUGAAAAUGUGAAUUAAUUACCAGCUAGUCUGAAGUUAUUCAUCUUCUUAUAAAAUUAAAGACUCCAACUGAGUCAAAAAGAUACAAAACUAGAAUGGAGAGUGAGCAGGUCUUCCGUCUCUCAUAUUCUGUCUGAUGUUUGUUUCCGAGUGAAGGAACGAUGUUACUGAAGAGUCUGCCAUGGUCAAGGGCUCUGUGCUUUCCCAAGAAGAAGUUCAUGUUGAAUAGUAGAGCAAUGGGAAGAGAGUUCCUUAUUCACACCUGGGGUUUAAGUACAGCGGAUGCAUGCAGCUCCUCUCAUCAUGGAUACUUCAGGAUGAAGGUCACAACACUCACUGCAUGGCUGGGCCAGUACAGACCUCAAUGAGUAAGAGACCAAGUUUCCUGCUUGCUCUUUCUGUUAAGCUGAUCACUGUCUACUUCAAAUUGGCAUUAUGUGUCAUAUAGUCAAAGAUAACUACACAUAUUCCAAUGCUUGGGGUGGGGGGUCCUGGAAAGCCACAGUCAGUCUGUGUGCAUAAAUGGGACCUAUACACUGUAGGUUUUGACUACAUUCUGGAAAUGAGAUUACAGACACUCUCUUAUGUGCAGGCAAAACCUUGUUCUUGUUAAGAAAAGGACAUAGAAUAAAGGGCUCACACAGCACCCAUCCUGGAAUUGUACCAUAAAAGAUUUAUUUUAACUAGGGUGAGGUAUUGUGCUCCACUAAUGGAGUCUACAGAAAAAAAUGUAGAAAACCAACUCCCCCUGUUGUGUUUGGCUGUAAAAUCUUUUCUGUUGAUUUAAUUUAAUUUUUGAAAAUGAGUGACUAAAUUAAUCAGGAAAAAUCUAUGCCCAGAAAUUGUAAAUGUUGGAGAUUAUCCCCAUGAGAUGAGAACGCUGGCCAUGAAAAUUAAGAUUUAUGGGCAACUCAAAUUUUUCCUCUUAAUCCCAUUUAACACAAAAAGAUUUAAUCUGUUGCCUUUGUAUGUAAGGAACCCUGCCCCAAACCACAUUAAAUACUCAUUCUUUUUCAUUUAUUUUGUACUUCGAUGAGUUUACAAAACUGUCCUUAUCAUUAUUUUUUAGUAAACCAAUCUUUUAAAAAGUAAGUUGGAAAUAGACCAGGUAAGGUCAAAAUUUAAAUAUUUUGCGAUAAGUAGUCCUUAGCCACUGAUGUCUACCGAAGGAACUUAGUCCCUCCUGCCUUUGUUUUACUAGAAUAAGGUGCACAUGGCCACUCUCUAAGGUGUAUUUAUAUUCUCCCAUG